CCGUGUCAGCAGUGGCACCGGGUGGCACAAUGAGACACACUGUAAACAGCCACCCAGCAUUAUAACAGAAGAAGCUGGAUUUUCCAGGAAAAUCAGAAGCAAAAGCUGCCUCUACUAAUGUUCCAGACAUGAAGAAAGAGGUCACUGCUGGCUUGAAUAAUGAAGGAUCGGUUACAGAAAAAGAACAUUCUGAGAAAUGGAAAGCAACCAUGGCAGUCACUGGAAGAAGAAGCAGGGAUGGAAAGGAAGACUUGAACAGCAAUGGAGUGAUGAUCCGCUAGACAAGCAGGAAAUAGUGAUCAGAAUAACUGUCAGAAUAACUAUUUGUUGCUUCUUUACAAAAUAUUUCUGAGAAAGAAUCAAAGAAAUUGUUCUUGUUGCCUGUGCAGUUGAAGAACUAUUUGUUGUUUCUUAAAAAUAACAACAAUCAUGUAUCUGGGACAUUACCGUUGC
Molecule: long non-coding RNA, 453 nt
Organism: Sceloporus undulatus (fence lizard)
Lineage: Eukaryota; Metazoa; Chordata; Lepidosauria; Squamata; Phrynosomatidae
Exons: 3
Source: RefSeq, a predicted model, not a curated record